This is a non-coding RNA of Cordylochernes scorpioides, 68 nucleotides long. Lineage: Eukaryota; Metazoa; Arthropoda; Arachnida; Pseudoscorpiones; Chernetidae. The record is from the annotation of a GenBank genome assembly.
UGUGAGACGUUUCGGUUACAGCAUUGUUACCAUCGGACAAAAGUAUGCUGUUACUGAAACAUCACACA